AGCCGCGGUAAUUCCAGCUCCAAUAGCGUAUAUUAAAGUUGUUGCAGUUAAAAAGCUCGUAGUUGGAUCUCGGGUCCGGGCUCGCGGUCCACCUCGCGGUGGUUACUGCCCGUCCCGACCUACCUACCGGUUUUCCCUUGGUGCUCUUAACUGAGUGUCUCGGGUGGCCGGAACGUUUACUUUGAAAAAAUUAGAGUGUUCAAAGCAGGCGCUUCGCCUGAAUAAUGUUGCAUGGAAUAAUGGAAUAGGACCUCGGUUCUAUUUUGUUGGUUUUCGGAACUCGAGGUAAUGAUUAAGAGGGACAGACGGGGGCAUUCGUAUGAUGGUGUUAGAGGUGAAAUUCUUGGAUCGCCGUCAGACGAACUACUGCGAAAGCAUUUGCCAAGAAUGUUUUCAUUAAUCAAGAACGAAAGUCAGAGGUUCGAAGACGAUCAGAUACCGUCCUAGUUCUGACCAUAAACGAUGCCGACUAGCGAUCCGCCGGAGUUGUUUCAAUGACCCGGCGGGCAGCUUCCGGGAAACCAAAGUCUUUGGGUUCCGGGGGAAGUAUGGUUGCAAAGCUGAAACUUAAAGGAAUUGACGGAAGGGCACCACCAGGAGUGGAGCCUGCGGCUUAAUUUGACUCAACACGGGAAAGCUUACCCGGCCCGGACACCGUAAGGAUUGACAGAUUGAGAGCUCUUUUUUGAUUCGGUGGGUGGUGGUGCAUGGCCGUUCUUAGUUGGUGGAGCGAUUUGUCUGGUUAAUUCCGAUAACGAACGAGACUCUAGCCUAUUAAAUAGUUCGCCGAUUUCGAUCUGUCGGCGUUAACUUCUUAGAGGGACAAGUGGCUUUUAGCCACGCGAGAUUGAGCAAUAACAGGUCUGUGAU
This 870-nucleotide ribosomal RNA is filed under the name uncultured eukaryote. RNAcentral's name for it is "SSU rRNA". It matches the Rfam family "Eukaryotic small subunit ribosomal RNA", at positions 572 to 1468 of the family's 1831-position model. The record is from RNAcentral.